GACGAACGCUGGCGGCGUGCUUAACACAUGCAAGUCGAACGGUGAAGCGCCUUCCUUUUUGGUGGGUGUGGAUGAGUGGCGAACGGGUGAGUAACACGUGAGUAACCUGCCCCCUUCUUCUGGAUAACCGCAUGAAAGUGUGGCUAAUACGGGAUAUUCUGGGUCUGUCGCAUGAUGGGUCUGGGAAAGAUAUUGUUUCGGUGGGGGAUGGGCUCGCGGCCUAUCAGCUUGUUGGUGGGGUGAUGGGCUACCAAGGCGGUGGCGGGUAGCCGGCCUGAGAGGGUUGACGGUCAGGCUGGGGCUGAGGCACGGCCAAGACUGCAACGGGACGCAGCAGUGGGGACUACUGGAGGAUGGGGGGAAGACUGAUGCAGCGACGGCGAGUGAGGGAUGGAGGCCUUCGGGUUGUGAACCUCUUUCGCCAGUGAAGCAGGCCUGCCUCGUUUGUGGGUGGGUUGACGGUAGCUGGAUAAGAAGCGCCGGCUAACUACGUG
This 494-nucleotide ribosomal RNA is filed under the name uncultured bacterium. RNAcentral's name for it is "partial 16S ribosomal RNA". It matches the Rfam family "Bacterial small subunit ribosomal RNA", at positions 28 to 507 of the family's 1533-position model. The record is from RNAcentral.